UGAUGUGGAUAAGGUUGUAAGACUUGCUGAAAUUUAUGCUGAAGAUUUCGAUAUUGGUCACAUUGCUUUGUUGCCAAGUCAACUUAGAGGCUUCAUUGGACGUGUUAGAAGAAGCCAAGAAUUUCUUGGAUGUACAGAACUUCCACAAUGUGCUGAAAUUAUGGUCAGGAAAGGAAUGCACCGAUCUUAUCCAUUGGUUUAUCGCCUUAUUGAGCUCACAUUGAUACUUCCGGUGGCAACAGCUUCAGUUGAGAGGGUCUUUUCAGCCAUGUCUAUUAUAAAGACAGAUUUGCGCAACAAAAUGGGUGAUGAAUGGCUAAAUGACUUGAUGAUAUGCUACACAGAGAAGGAGAUAUUUAGGAGCAUUAGUAAUGAGAAAAUUAUGAAACGGUUUGAAGAGAUGAAAGAACGUCGUAUGUUAAUUCCUCAAAAGAUAGUGAUCACUCCUGCAGAAGAAUGAUGUAUGUUGUAAUGGGACGGUCACAUGUCAUUAUCAUCUACUUCACUUGGUACGGACAAAUUCAAACCGUAACUUUUAUUCUUCUUCGAUGUAAUUUGAGUUACUCAUCUAUGUUUCAAUAUAAAAUUGCUUUAAAAUG
This is a long non-coding RNA of Panicum virgatum (switchgrass), 599 nucleotides long. RefSeq lists it as uncharacterized. The record is from RefSeq and is a predicted model, not a curated record. The transcript is spliced from 2 exons. NCBI's taxonomy places the organism in Eukaryota, Viridiplantae, Streptophyta, Magnoliopsida, Poales, Poaceae.